UACGGAGGGGGCGAGCGUUGUUCGGAAUCACUGGGCGUAAAGGGCGCGUAGGCGGUUUGUUAUGUCAGGUGUGAAAUCCUGCCGCUUAACGGGAGAAGUGCACUUGAAACUGGGAGACUUGAGUAUGGGAGAGGGAAGUGGAAUUCCUGGUGUAGAGGUGAAAUUCGUAGAUAUCAGGAGGAACACCUGUGGCGAAGGCGACUCCCGGGCCCAAUACUGACGCUGAGGCGCGAAGGCGUGGGGAGCAAACAGG
This 253-nucleotide ribosomal RNA is filed under the name uncultured bacterium. RNAcentral's name for it is "partial 16S ribosomal RNA". It matches the Rfam family "Bacterial small subunit ribosomal RNA", at positions 524 to 776 of the family's 1533-position model. The record is from RNAcentral.